UCGGGAAUUUUGGGCAAUGGGGGAAACCCUGACCCAGCAACGCCGCGUGAAGGAUGAAGUAUUUCGGUAUGUAAACUUCGAAAGAAUAGGAAGAAUAAAUGACGGUACUAUUUAUAAGGUCCGGCUAACUACGUGCCAGCAGCCGCGGUAAUACGUAGGGACCAAGCGUUGUUCGGAUUUACUGGGCGUAAAGGGCGCGUAGGCGGCAUGACAAGUCACUUGUGAAAUCUCUGGGCUUAACCCAGAACGGCCAAGUGAUACUGUCGCGCUAGAGUGCAGAAGGGGGCAAUCGGAAUUCUUGGUGUAGCGGUGAAAUGCGUAGAUAUCAAGAGGAACACCUGAGGUGAAGACGGGUUGCUGGGCUGACACUGACGCUGAGGCGCGAAAGCCAGGGGAGCAAA
This 401-nucleotide ribosomal RNA is filed under the name uncultured bacterium. RNAcentral's name for it is "bacterial SSU rRNA". It matches the Rfam family "Bacterial small subunit ribosomal RNA", at positions 355 to 772 of the family's 1533-position model. The record is from RNAcentral.